This 118-nucleotide ribosomal RNA is filed under the name Lepisosteus oculatus (spotted gar). The record is from RNAcentral. Lineage: Eukaryota; Metazoa; Chordata; Actinopteri; Semionotiformes; Lepisosteidae.
GCCAGCAGUCAUACCACCCUGCAACUCAUAGCUGGCAACCCACUGAAGCUCAGCAGGUGUGAGCCCGGUCAGUACCUGGAUGGGAGACCUCCUUAGAAAGCUAAGGUUGCUGCUGGAA